RNAcentral lists this ribosomal RNA (687 nucleotides) under Triticum aestivum (bread wheat). Its description in RNAcentral is "partial small subunit ribosomal RNA". The record is from RNAcentral. Lineage: Eukaryota; Viridiplantae; Streptophyta; Magnoliopsida; Poales; Poaceae.
AUGUCUUCCUCCAGCUCAACUCUCUCCUCCGCUGGCCUAAACAACACCAUCUCAGAACCCCUGACUCGCACGAACUAUGUUCUGUGGCGAGCUCAAGCCCGAUCUCAGAUUAUAGGAGCGGGCCUCCUAGGAUACCUAGAUCAAACAAUCCCAGAACCACCAGCAACCAUCACCUCAAAGAACGCUGAAGGCAAAGAUCAGAUCGUUCCAAACCCAGCCUACUCCGCCUGGUUGAUCCAGGAUCAACAGCUUGUAGCCUAUCUCCUUCGCAAUCUCUCGAAAGAAGUUCUGGUGCAAGUCGCCUCCUUAGAAAAAUCCCACGCCAUCUGGACUGCUCUCGCAAACAUGUUUGCUGCCCAGUCCAGGUCGCGCGCCAACAACUGCCGCGCCGCCCUCUCCAAUGCCCAAAAGGGUUCUCAAUCCGCUACUGCGUACUUCGGUCAGAUGCGUGCACUCGCAGAUGAACUUGCCAUGGCUGGAAAGCCUCUUCUCGAAGGAGAGCUGAUCUCCUUCCUCAUUGUUGGCCUUGAUAUGGACUAUCAACCCCUCAUAUCCGCUCUUGACGUCCGCACUGAGCCCCUCUCCGUCGACGAUCUGUUCGGCAUGGUGUCGAACUUCGAUCAGAGAGUGGAGAUGUUCCACGGCUCUAGAUCAGGCGCCUUCAAGUCCUCCGCAAACGCCGCCGCU